Molecule: ribosomal RNA, 253 nt
Filed under: uncultured bacterium
Lineage: Bacteria
Description: partial 16S ribosomal RNA
Rfam family: Bacterial small subunit ribosomal RNA
Source: RNAcentral
UACGUAGGGGGCAAGCGUUGUCCGGAAUCAUUGGGCGUAAAGCGCGUGUAGGCGGCCUUGUAAGUCCGUUCUGAAAGCCCGGGGCUCAACCCCGGGAGGCGGAUGGAUACUGCAAGGCUCGAGUCCGGAAGAGGCGAGUGGAAUUCCCGGUGUAGCGGUGAAAUGCGCAGAUAUCGGGAGGAACACCAAUGGCGAAGGCAGCUCGCUGGGACGGUACUGACGCUGAGGAGCGAAAGCCAGGGGAGCAAACGGG